GACGAACGCUGGCGGCGCGCUUAACACAUGCAAGUCGAACGGAAAGGCCUGCUUUCCCUUGUGGAUUGCGGGUACUCGAGUGGCGAACGGGUGAGUAACACGUGAGUGAUCUGCCCCCAACUUGGGUAUAAGCCUGGGAAACUGGGUCUAAUUCCCGAUAGGACUGCAGGGUGGUGCCUGUGGUGGAAAACGAUUUUCUAGUGGUUGGGGAUGAGCUCGCGGCCUAUCAGCUUGUUGGUGGGGUAAUGGCCUACCAAGGCGGCGACGGGUAGCCGGCCUGAGAGGGUGGACGGCCACAUUGGGACUGAGAUACGGCCCAGACUCCUACGGGAGGCAGCAGUGGGGAAUAUUGCACAAUGGGCGGAAGCCUGAUGCAGCGACGCCGCGUGGGUGAUGACGGCCUUCGGGUUGUAAACUCCUUUCGACCGCGAGGAAGCCACCUGGUUGGAAGGGUGGUGACGGUAGUGGUAGAAGAAGCACCGGCUAACUACGUG
Molecule: ribosomal RNA, 494 nt
Filed under: uncultured bacterium
Lineage: Bacteria
Description: partial 16S ribosomal RNA
Rfam family: Bacterial small subunit ribosomal RNA
Source: RNAcentral